GGAGGCUGAGGCAGGAGAAUGGUGUGAACCCGGAGGUGGAGCUUGCAGUGAGCCAAGAUCGCGCCACUGCACUCCAGCUUGGCCGACAGAGCAAGACUCUGUCUCAAAAAAAAAAAAAAAAAAAAUAGAGGAAGUGUGGUUUGAGCUGAGAAUUAGGGAUAACUGGGAGUUAGGCUGAUAAAGGAAGGGAAGUGGUGAUUGGAGGAGAAAUCCUCUGUCCUUGUCUGAGAUUACCCUGUGUUAGGGCAGUGGCUGACCCUUUUCUGGGAUCACCCAAAAUGGGAUAGUGGGUGGGUGAGACAUGUGGACUGUCAAAACUAGUAGAUUCUGAAUCCUGUCUCUGCCAUGUCCUGCUGUGUGGCCUUGGGCAAUUUACUUGUCUCUCUGUUGCUUCUGAUAGAAAAGGAGGGUAGUGAGGGAGAUUCAAGUUGAAGACAGACAGAGUUAAUCAUGUUUAAAGUGUUGGCUUUGGCUGCUGUGUGGAGAUUGGAUUAGAGCGGGGGUGUUAAGGAAGAGGGAGGGAUUUGGGUUCCUGGUGAGAAUCAAAGUGGCUGGGGCCAGGGUUUGGUGUUGUGGGUGGGGAAGAAUAGAAAGUGAUCUUUUUUUUUUUUUUUUUUGAGACUGAGUCUUGGUCUGUUACCCUGGCUGGAGUGCAAUGGUGUGAUCCCGGCUCACAGCAACUUCCGCUUCCGGGAUUCAAGCAGUUCUGCCUGAGCCUCUUGAGUAGCUGGGAUUACAGGCAUGAGCCACUAUGCCCGGCUAAUUUUUGUAUUUUUAGUAGAGAUGGGGUUUCACCAUCAAGGCCAGGCUGGUCUCAAACUCCUGGUCUCAAGUGAUCUGCCCGCCUCCGCCACUCGAAGUGCUGGUAUUAUAGGUGUGAUUAGAAGUGAAAAUUAAUUGGACUUGGUUGGUGAGGGAGUGGUCAAAGGUAACUCCCAGGUUUCUGGCUUCUGUUAUUAUGAGUAAAACAGAAGAGUGACUGAACUUCAUUAAUAUAUUUUCCAUUUGUUGUGGUCAUGCAAAAAAAUGUUUUCCAUCUGUUCCAUUUAAAGAUGAAUAACAAAAAUAAACCCUUAUUUACUCUGUAGGGAUAAAUCUUUUUGAGAAAAAGAGAAAAAGAAGAAAUAUCAAUAAACGUGUGUGAAAAGGUGUCUACCAAUGUAGAAGAGACCACACUGGGUGGGGUGGUGUCCCAGAUCCCAGACUGGCCAAGAUUUAAAAGUCCAUCCCUGGGGAGCUGGCAGGAAGUGGAGGAACCAAUAGGAGCAGCGUUCUGAAUGUUGAGCUGUGCACAUCCCACGAGACAGCAAUUCUGUCCUGGGUAGGUGUCCUGGAGAAACUUGGCACAUGUCCAGGAGGAAAGCACCAAACGUGUACAAAGUGGCAUUGUUUAAAUAGCCAGACAUGGAAACAGCCCCAAAUGUUGAUUGACAACAGAAAAGAUAAAAUGUCGCAGGGCACGGUGGCUCAUGCCUGUAAUCCCAGCACUUUGGGAGGCCGAGGCGGGCAGAUCAUGAGGUCAGGAGUUCGAGACCAGCCUGACCAACAUGGUGAAACCCCAUCACUACUAAAAAUACAAAAAUUAGCUAGGUGUGGUGGUGCACACCUGUAAUCCCAGCUACUCAGGAGGCUGAGGCAGGAGAAUCUCUUGAACCUGAGAGGCAGAGGUUGCAGUGAGUCGAGAUCGUGCCACUGCACUCCAGCCUGGGCGACAGAGGGAGACUCUGUCUCAAAAAGACAAAAAGAGAGAAGAUAAAAAGUCAAUUGUUUCAUGAUUGGAAUCGUAUACAGCAAUGGAAAUAACCAGUUGUAAUAUGCAACAGAUUAAAUGAAUCUCACAGACAUAAAGCUGGACAAAAGAUGCAAAUCACAAAAGAAUACAUAGGAUCCAACAUAUCUUUUAUGUAUAUAAAGUUGAAAUUAGGCAAAACUAAACUAUAUGAGGGAUAAAACUAUGAAGAGGAAAUGAGUAUCAAAAAAUUCAGGGAGACCAGGUGCAGUGACUCAUACCUGUAAGCUCAGCACUUUGGGAGGCCAAGGUAAGAAAGAUUGCUUGAGCCCAGGGGUUUGCAACCAGCCUGAUCAACAUAGGGAGAUUCUAUCUCUAGAAAAAAUUUAAACAUUAGCUUUGUGUGGUGGCACAUGCCUGUACUCCCAGCUACUUGCGAGGCUGAGUUGGGAGGCUCACUUGAGCCAGAGUGUGAGGCUGCGGUGAAUUACAAUGCUGCCACCGCACUCCAGCCUGGGUGGGAGAACAAGACUCUGUCUGUAAAUAAACAAACAAAAACCAACAAACAAACCCAACAACUCAGUUUCCUUUGGUGACAAAGGAAUGGGAAUUAUGAACAGGGAAGGUAUGGGGUGGGGUGGGGAGAUCCUGGUCAUAGUCCAUUUCUUGAUCCGGGUGGUGGUUUCUUCAGUGUUCAAUUCUGUAAUUAUUCUUUAGGUCAUAGCUCUCUGUUUUAAACACUGAUUUAAGCACUGUUUAAGCUUUCUGUUUAAAGCACAGAUUUUCACUGGUUACUUAACUUCAUGUCGUUAAUUUUUGUUCUGUCUGAUCUUGAUUAGUUGUUUCACAAAUUCAUGUUUUUUCACUUGUGUUCUGAAAAAAAUUUUAUUUAGUCCUUUGAUUUUUUUUUUUUUUUUUGUGAGACUGAGUCUCGCUGUAUCACCCAGGCUGGAGUGCAGUGGCGUGAUCUCGGCUCACUGCAACCUCUGCCUUCCAGGUUCAAGCGAUUCUCCUGCCUCAGCCUCCUGAAUAGCUGGGUUACAGGCACCUGCCACCAUGCCCAGCUAAGUCUUUUUUUUUUUUUUUUUUUUUUUUGGAGAGACGGGGUUUCACCAUGUUGGCCAGGCUGGUCUUGAACUCCGGACCUCAAGACCUCAAGUGAUCCACACGCCUCGGCCUCCCAAAGUGUUGGGAUUACAGGCGUGAGCCACGGAGCAAGCCUAGUCCUUUGAUCUUAAAGUUAUCAGAAACUUGUCCUAAGAGUACUUGGUAAUGUCUUUACCAUGAAUCUGAUUGGAAACGUUUUUAGGGAAGGACAACACUGUGGAUGACAGAGACUUUGAAUAGCCAUUCUUAAAAAUAUGAUUGAAGUUCAGACCUGACAUGGAGGUUCACACCUGCAAUCCUAGAACUUUGGAAAGAACUUUGGGAGGACAGCUUCAGACCAGGAAAUGCAGACCAGCCUGGGCAACAUAGCAAGAUCUCAUCUGCAUAAAAAAUAAAAACAUGGCCGGGUGCGGUGGCUCACGC
RNAcentral lists this long non-coding RNA (3259 nucleotides) under Homo sapiens (human). RNAcentral describes it as "HSALNT0048750". The record is from RNAcentral. Lineage: Eukaryota; Metazoa; Chordata; Mammalia; Primates; Hominidae.